Gallus gallus (chicken) is the source of this 8073-nucleotide long non-coding RNA. The record is from Ensembl. Lineage: Eukaryota; Metazoa; Chordata; Aves; Galliformes; Phasianidae.
UGUAUAAACACAAAAUACAUUCAUACAUUUUCAAUAUACACAUAAUUUUUGAAGAAUUAGAAUUUAGAAUGGUGCUGUUCCUCACAACAUUUCAUAUCACUUUCAUUGGUUAAAACUGGUAUCAUUUUAAGUGUUUAGAAUAAAAUUCACUCAUAUCUGCUCAUUCUUAUUUUUGAAAAGUGAUCUGAGAAUGGCCUGGAUUAAUUCUUAAUCCUUUCAAAGCUUAACCUAAGAUCUACAUGUCCAGCACUUUUCAUGAAGUUUAAAUAGGGGAGGAAACUUUGUCUAAUUUGGUGUAUUCCUCUAGUUCUAGUUUCUAAAAAUAAAAUGACUGGAAGCCAUCCGUGCAAGAUACGGUAACUCAGGCUCUGUAACCUUGCAUGAUCUGCAAAUGGAAGAGAAUUAAUUUUUGUGGCAAUUUGUAGUAAAGAAAGGAGAGAGAAAAUUUUCUCUACUGUCAUUAGCUGAUUUAAAAAGAGUUGACUUUUUAUUCUUUCUGCAGAAAAUCUUCAGACACAAAAAAAUCUGGAAUAUAUUCAAAGUUCUUCUGCCUAAAUAAAUUCAACCUAAAUCUUUUGAGGUUACUUUAUUACAAAGGGUGAGGCCUGAAUUUCAACGUGAGGUGAAAACCUUUGAAGAUCCAUCAGAUCUCCAGAGGAGUACUACAGGAUUUGCAAAAGGGAGCUCAGAGAAAUACAUUCCCAAAUAGAAAGUUUUAGCUGUCUAUGCAGGUAUCCAUAAUUCCAUGGAAAAACUUACGGGAGUCUGCAGACUGUAAAACACUGAACAUACUGACAUACAUGCUGCGUGCAUAUCUUCAGAAUAGAAAAGCAUUACUAAAAAAACCUACAAAUGUUAAUACAAAAUCUUUCAGUCAUGGCUCUGUCUUUGAACUGGGAUUUUAUAGCAUAGAUCUCUGAAACUGUACAAGAUAACCAAAUGUGCACUUCAGAGCAGAUCAGAAAAACAGUAUCUAUCAACACAAUUCUGAUUUGGGGGAUGAAUUAAGUAUGCAAUUUUCUUCCUGCAGUUUCUCAUUCUCAGGAGUUGUACUCUCACUGAAGUUGUGAAACAAUGGGGAAACAUUAAUUCAUAUAAUUAGGGAUAUUGCAACUUUAUGCAUGCGAGAGAAUCAAUGUAAUUAGAGACCAGGAAGACAUCGGUUCUUGCAGAUGAAUGUUUCCAUCAACACACAGAGCAGGUAAUACCUCAUUCUGCCGUUAUCUACUGCGCAUGUGAUACUUCCAAGAGAUAUAUAUGAGUGUACUUUUGAUUUUACUGUUGUUUACACCUUUAGAUCUCUGGGAGUAGCUGUUGUUUUGUUUUCUUCUCAAAACCAGUUUGAUGCAGCUGACAAUUGAGCUUCUUUCUGCACUAGUGACUCAUUUUCCUUCUUUCUCUACUGAUUUCCCUUACCUCUAUCAUGCAAGAAAAAGGUCACACAGGUAGAAAACAUAGCUCCAGCAUCUGAUCAAAGUUGUAUUUUAGAUCACAACAUAACUCUUGCAGGAGAAAUCUUGUGUAACUCUCUUUUCACUAAAAAAAAUAUGGCCCCAUUAUAUUUAAAUUACUUUUAUUGGUUCCCAUUCUAUUUUGAGAGAUGUUGGCCCUGGUUGUUUGUGUCCAAAAUGCAAUUUAAUCAUCAGCCAGUGAAAGAUUAUGAUCUGUAUGUAUUCGUGGCAUUUGCAAAACAUGAUGAUAACUCUAUAUUGCCUCUUCUGGGAAGAAGGAAGAAAGCUCUCCUCUGGAGAUGGAUGUUUCCAACAACAUCUCCCUUCCCUGCCACCAAGUGGCUGCUUUGCAUCGCUGGAGGCAGUAGGAAUACAGCAGAUCACAACUCAAGGAGAACCUCUCAUCUUCUCAUCACUCUGCUUCAGUAAACUGUUUGGUGCUUUUAGCCCUUCAUAAUUCUUCAAGAAAAACUGUUUCAUUUUCUUUCCUAAAACUUGGUUGUUUUCCAUUGGAUGUAAAAACUAACAGGAAUUUUUCCUUAUUAGGUAAGUAUAAUGCUGUACUGAUUAAGCCAUUUGUUUAUAUUCAAUGAUAUUCAUCACUACCUGCAAUUAGAUCAUACCAAGUUCUCUGACCUUGACUUGAACAUGUUGCUUUGCCCUUUUCUCCCUUGGCUAACCAGUAUGUCUGUGGCAGAUGAGCGAGGAUCUGGAAGAAGGCAUUUCUUCCUUGGGUGGCAUAAAGUUUCUCCCUGGCAUCAUGUGAACAGCCACAUGGACAUUCUCAAAACUCACAGAAGUUGUCCUUCGAAGGAAAUCAGUUCAGCCUCCAGUCUUUUGCUUGGGCAGCUCAAGGCAAAAUAAUUUUCAGUCUAUAAACAGAGAGCUUGACCUACUCAUCCUAGCCAGUCUGUGUAAACAGAUCAGUUCAUCAGAGAGGUGAUGCAGGUUUCAGAAGCAAAAAGGGCACCCUCUGCAUGUGUGGGACAGAUACUGCCUUGCUGCCCUAUUCUCCUCUGAGCUUGUGACUUCAGGAUGCUUCCUCUGUCAGGUCAUCCCAGGCAUGGUAAGAGGAGAGAAAAGGGGAAUUGCUCCUCUGUGUCUAUGCAUCAGUAGGUACCAAGUGACUAAUGGCAGGGCAGGGAGUAACCUCAGGGUACUUGGCUUUCAGCAUAUUCAGAGGGAAAUGGUCAGAGAAGAUGGAAGAGGGGGAGUACCUGUUGCCAAAUGACUGUGAUUACAGUAGUGGCAAACGUCCAGGGAAACAGAGCCUCAGUUCUGUUUUAUCAGGAUCCUUUGUAAAUUGCUAUUAAGAAGUAUUUUUCAACAAUCUCAUUUUUAUUAGCCGUUUGUGCCCAUUAUAGUUUUCUAGUUGCUAGUUUGUUAUGGCUGUAACAUAAAUAAAGUUCUAAAAAUGUCUCAUUUGAGAAAUUGCAGAGCUGGGCAUGCCAUUUAGACACAGAUAAAAGCAGAUGUAAAGGGCUUUCUUUGUAAUGGGUCUAUUUUAUAUUUAAUACAACUGUCAUAUAAAGCUAUACUAGCAUUUAAAAUGCAGUUUCUAGGCCAUAAAACAAACACCAUUUCUAAUAUUGCUGUUGGCUUUCACCUAUGGGACACGGUUCAUUAAAAGCUCUCAAAGGUAUUUAUGUGGGACUGCCAUAUGAUUUACAAUCUAAGAGCCACCCCAGGCAACAAAUGUGUUUCUCCCCCACCUUUGGAACCAUUCUUCAGAAAUAUUAAUUAUUCCUGCAGCACCUCUCAGCCAGACAGGACUGGUACCAUCAGUGGUGUAGUGCUGGCGGGGACUGGCACACCUUUUAUAGCAGAGCUCCUUCCUCCUUCAGGGACAUUACACCUGAGAAUCACUUUUGCAUUUGGUUUUCUUCACUGAACUUUGUAAAACAAGUGUUACCACAAAAAAUAAAAAUAAAAAAUAAAUAAUAAAAAAAAUGUAGCUGUCUCAGGUAUCCGUGGGAAGACUGCCUGUGCUGAGCUUAUGAAUUGGCUUGUUUGCUUGUCUGAGUUGGGCUGAAUCACCUGCUGGAGAUUCCCACUUCUCUCCAUUGUCUGUAGAAAUAGGCAUCCAUAAGAGGUGGUGACAAUAAGGUGGAAAAACCUGAACCCAAGUUCUGCAUUACAGAUGCAGUGCAAAGAUGUGAGACAGCUCAGGGACACUGCCUCUGACUUGACACUCAGUUACAUCACAGGAUAAAAUACACUUUCCUACUAAACCUGUUGUUCAGGAACCUUUGGGCUUCUUUCCUAAAGCAGUAAGGAUACUCAGAUCGUCAUGUACCCCAGUGUCCUUCCCAGUGAGACCAGGAGCAUGUAGUUCCCUCUCUCUGAAUUUCUGCCAUUAAUAGCAUCUCCUAAAGUCCAAAGGAAGAAGCCCGAGGAAGGGGAAAAGCAACCAGCGCUCCACUCUGCAGAGUGCCUGGAUCAAUCCCUCCAUGGCUGUCAGCUGGCACACACUGAUCCUGUGAUGCUCUGCUUGCUGGGCCAAAGGGCAACAUUACUGUUAUUAGACAUGAAACCUCUCCUAAAAGUUCAUUAGAUCUCUGGCUCUGGCUCCUCAUAGCUUUGUUAGACUUCAACUGGAUGUACUGUUAUAUUCCAUGCAUCAAGCUGAUUAUUAUUUGUUUAAUAGAGCAAAAUAUUUCAGCCAUUUCUGAGCCAGGCUGUGUGGGGGAAAUAUAUUGUUUCACUGAUAUAUAUAUAUAUAUAUAUAUAUAUGAUAUAUAUAUAUAUAUAUAUUAAUGUUAGCAGCUUCUUCUCCAAAUACGCCCAUGCUUUGCAGAGGGCACUUCAGACUUGGCAAGGACAAGGUACUUUCUGCUAAUCAAGUGUCUACUAUUUUCUGUUUUGAUUCAAAUCUAACCAAAAUCUAUUGUUUUGAAAAAUUAGAUGAAGUGUGAUAAAUUGAGGUAUUGAGUUAAAUAUUUUAAAAUUAAACUUUAAUUUUUAGCUAAAUUUUUGAAAGAAACCUAUUCUUACUAGGUAUUCUCAACAUCCUCACAACCCAUGAAUGCACCAAAAUGGUCCCACACAGACCAGCUGACCCAUGGUUAUUGAAAAUCUACUGGGUUUACAUGAACAGAAAAGAUGAAUUUUGGUUCAGACAGCUGAAAGCUAGGCUCUAGGUAUAGCAUCUGGCUGAGUCUUUAAGGUGAUACCAACAGGUUUACCUACAGUUUACAUUUGGGUUGAGCAAUUCCAGUUAAAGGAACUGUGAUGUGACAGGAAGAAAAAAAGAAUGGAAAAAAUUAGGACUCAGACAUUUCACAUUGUGCCAUGAAGAUGAGUGAUGACUAGGAACUCCCAAUUUUCAUCUCCGGGCCUAAAUCUCCGUUAGGUUCUAUCGCUAAAUAGGACAAAAAGUGGCAAAAAGAACUCAGUAUUUUUGGAAUAACAAGCAAUCAAAACAAAAACAUCUCAGUUAGACAAUUUGCAAAUGAAUCCUGAGUGGAAAUACAACCUUAUCUUUCCUUAACAGUCUUCACUUUAUUCAGAUUUGGAUAUAAAUUUUUAAAAAUCCCACUCACUUAACAACAGACACUUCACAGCAGCCCAUGUGUUAGGAUCCAAGAUGUUCACAGCCUCCUUAUAUUCAAAUGACAAACUUAAAUGGUCAGAAUCACCAGCGGGAGAUAUGUUCCUUCCCUGGCUGCAGUAGGGGGUCCAUGCUGACCAGCCUCACCAAGCACCUCACUGAAGUGUGUGGGAUGAGUCCAGAUGGAGUGGCCAAUCUCCAGGAUUUUCAAACACACUGCAGCUGUGUUAGGGGGAAAAGCCUGGGCAAUGUUGCCCUCAAGGCUACUGAGCAUAAAGGGAGGACAGAAGGUUUUCCAGCCAUGGUCUCCAUGCUGCCACUUAACCUUCUGUCUUGGAAAGGACCUUCCAGUUCCAUCUCUUUACAAGUGGUAUUUAUAUUCCAGAAGUUCCUGAAAGCCUCUAUUCUACUACGCCAGGCAUUGAACAGAGAUUCAUAUAAUUCUGAAGCUGUAUUUGGAUAGGUAUCUUCAUCAUAAAUGAAGUUCUACUAUUGCAUGCACUAAUGCAGACUCAAGAAAGUUAAAUAUCCUAUCUUUCCAAAAUCAGACUACCCUUAAGGAUUGUAAAUGCCUGGAAGAGAAGAAUGUGCCAAAGUCUAGGCGUAUCCUGAAGUCACGUUGAAUUUAAUGCACUCUUAAGAACCUUGCACAAGAGGUCUAACACAGAGCUGCCUGGCAACCAGGAGAAAUCAUGUGGAGGACAGGGAGUGGUAAUUACUUCCUUAUGACCCAUCCCCAAACAGAGUGGAGCUCUGGCACAGGAGAGAGUCUGGCCUAUAGCGUGUAAAUAAAUAACAAGCAAAUCAAAUCAAAGCAAAGCCCAAGCUGUAUGAAGUGUUUAACACAGCAUGGCUAUAGUUUUACACUGUCUCAAGGCUACGAAAGGCAAGCCAUCAUACUUUGAUUCAGGUUCUCAAAAUAAUUUUAAGUGCCAUAAAUGAUGAUUUUUUAUUUAUUUUUAAAUGAAAUCUCCUAUCCUGGAGCUGCCUUUUGAAGAUAAAUAGAGCUAACAAAGAUAGUGCUUUUCAACAAAAACAUUUGUAAGUGACCCUUGCUACAUGGAGAAAUGUAGUUUGAGACAGAAAUAUAAUUCCUUUAAAAUUGGCAGGUUAAUCUUUAAAUUCAUUAGUAAACUUCAGAAGAGCCUGCAUCUUGGAUUUUUCUAAAAUCUACAAGAAAGACCAUUUUUUAUCUAAAGCAAUCGGAAAAACAAUUGCCAGGAGGAUCAAAUUAACAUUUAUAAAUGAGUGUUUUAAAGCAAUUACAAAUCAAAGCUGGCAUUUGUUCUAUGGAUUACAUGAAUUGCAUGAAUCACAUGCUAUAUUGACAAGUUACGUUCUCAGGAUACUGGAGCUAGGAUGUCUAACUUUCAUGGGCCAGCAAUGCACAAACCAGGUUCAGAAAACUGCUGUAAUCUGAUAAAAGAUGGCUGGGGAAAGAUGGCAGACAGCUCAGCUGGCAAAUGCCUGCUAUCCUUCAGUAUGAAAAGAGGAGUAUAUGUAAGAACCUGGGAAGUUUGGGUGGAAUGUUCGUCUAGAGUAGGAAAAAAAAAAAGUGAGUUUAAAUCUCUGCUACUUUAGUAAAAGUUACUGAGAAAAGUUGUCACGUUGUUUAAUUCUGGCUGAGAGGGGAUCUGAUGCUCUACUGUGUAUAUGAAUAUUUCUAACAUCCUGUGGAAAAAAAAUGGGAUUGAUUGAGUCUGGCUGGGAACACGCAAGAACCUAUCAUGAUGAGAAGGCAAAACUGAAUAAGUGAGAAGCUCAGCAGCAACACCCACUUACUCUAUGAGGGCAAGAAGAGGAAUCCUAGAUACUUCACCUAUAACUUUCAACUUUGACAGAACCUAUAUGUUGGGAUGUGCCACUGAAGACCAGGAAUUGUGGCUUCAGCUCCUCUUCUUGGGAGUUAGUUUUGGUGCCCAUCUGGCUUGUUUCUUUACUGUGAAAACUGGCACAGAGGGGACUUGACUAGAAUGGGACUGAUUAUGCCCAAGUUAUGCUGUUCCAACCAGGAAGCAAGAUGUCAAGGCAAGGACCCACUCCUCAAACUUUGAACAGAUCCAGUGUCACACAAACAUCAGCACCGAUCCGCAGAAAUAAAAAUGUCUGUCAACUGGUAGUUGAUAGACAUCAAAAUGACAACAAGUUAUUUAAUCUUGCUGCCUGGUGGCUGGACAAGGAAACAAUUCAACAUGAGAAAACUAUGAUCUGAAUUAGUCUGGGUACCACAUUUACUGAUCUUGACCCUAGUGAGACAAAGCUGAACAAUAUGUUUCCAGCCUCUGUCAGUAGUUAAGACAGUGGUGAGUACUGAAGCCUAUGUGAGACAAAUGACUGAAACUGAGGAGGGGAACAUCCCAACAGAGAGAACAGUGAAGCAACCUGUGUCUGCUCAGGGUAUUGCCAAUCAGUCUGCUGGGGAAGAUGACUUCAGGAUCCACAGAUCAUGAUGCCCAAAAGAGACCUCUCAGUCAGUCCCUCAGCUCUACCAGCCUAUGGGGAAACCAUAGGACCACUCUGGAAGGAAGGAACCUCAGGAGGGCUCUGGUUGCACCCUGAUGCUCAGAGAUGGCUCAGCUGUGACACAAACUGGAAUGAUCGGGUCUGCUCAGGCCACAGAAAGGACUAUCCCCUAGAAAAAGGAAGUGCAAAUCUCUCUCACCAGGUUAUGUAUAUGACCGUUCAUCUUCAUUCUGCUGGUGCUAAUUGCUGUCUAUUGGACCCUUCGCUACUGUGUACAGAGAACACAUGCUUCCCCUCGACACUGCCAUCGCUGCGGGUGCACUGGAUUGUUCUGCUGUCCUCAGAUAGGAACCUGCUGCUGCUGCCUGACCACAACAGCUGGGAAUAUUCUGCUUUUAAAAGCUUAUCUUGUUGAUACUUGAGUUGAGCUAUUACACAGUGGAACAAGCAAACAGAAUGAAUGGACCCUCUGCGGGCAACUUAUGGUAACAAAAACAGCUUCCAUGUGCUUUUGAAUGUGUCUCUUGUCUUGGAAUUGACAGUGAUGUUUAGCAUAGAUGUUUCCUGUGAAGAAAGCAUGAUGGUAUAGAGCCAGGAACAGGCUAAAAA